GGCGAGGCGCGGUGUGGGGCUGCGGGGUUUCUGCCGGAAGAGGAAACCUCCCGGUGGGGCGCAGGCGUGCGGCUAGCCUUGGACGCCCGCCCUGGGGGGCCGGCAGGUGUGCGGUGGGAGCGCCUGGCGAGUGAUGGGACCGUGCGCCAGCGCCCCGGGAUAGCGCGGGUGAGGCGACAGAGCCCCGCCCGGGCAGCCAUGGGGCUCCUUCGGCUCCUGGUCCUCGCGGUGCUGGCGUCCGAACCCGGCGUGGCCGGAGGAGCCGAGACCGUCGGGAAUUCCAGCGAGGGUCUUCUUGAAUUUUCCGUAGGGAAGUUUAGAUACUUCACGCUCAACAGACCCUCUCCAGAGGAUGCCAUUUUGCGUCAUAUUUCCAGCAAUGCAUCUUUCCUUAUUUUCCAGAUACACUCACAGUAUCAGAAUACAACAAUUUCUUUUACUAAGACUCUCCUUCACAAUACCUCAGGAACAGGCACUGACAAAGGACUGGUUUUCAUUCUUAGACCAGAGCAGAGUAUGUGCACUUGGCACUUGGAGACUUUAGAUGCUGAGCCUGUCCAAAACAUGGCCAUCCCACUCUCCUAUUCAGAAAGAGAUCCUGUCCCUGGAGGCUGUAAUUUGGAGUUUGAUUUAGAUAUUGAUCCCAACAUUUACUUAGAAUAUAAUUUCUUUGAAACAACUAUUAAAUUUGCCCCAGCAAACCUAGGCUAUGCAAGAGGCACAAAUCCUCUGCCGUGUGACAUUGGGACGGGCCGGGACUCUAGGUGGAGGUUGCUGUAUGAUGUCUAUCAGUAUUUUCUGCCCGAGAAUGACCUCAGCCAGGAGGGUUUGCUAAAGCAUCUGCAGAGGAUGGCAGAGGUGCCUCAGGUGAAGGCCAAUGCAAUCAAGGUGGUUACCCUAACAGCUAAUGAUAAGCCACGUGUUUCCUUUUCCUCUCUCCGAGGACAAGGUGUCAUUUAUAAUGUCAUUGUUCGGGAUCCACUUCUCAAUACAUCUGCCGCGUAUGUUCCUGUUCACACGUACGCUUGCCACUUUGAGGCCACGGAGGGUAAUUGUUCUUCCCUUGGAAGAGUAUCAACCAAAGUGUUCUUCACCCUUUUUGCCCUGCUUGGUCUCUUCAUUUGUUUUUUUGGACACAGAUUCUGGAAAACAGAAUUAUUUUUCAUAGGCUUUAUCUUCACGGGUUUCUUCUUCUACAUACCAGUUACAAGACUGACACUUCUUACGUAUGAUGUUCGUCUGAUUUUGACAGCCGUCGCUGGAAGCGUUGGUGGGAUUCUCCUGGUAGCUGCUUGGUGGCGAUUUGGAAUCCUCCUGAUUUGCAUGCUGUGUGUUGGAUUAGAGCUGGGCUUCCUCAUCUCCUCAGUGAUGUUCUUUGCCCUGCUGGGAAACUUGAAGAUUUUUCAAGACGAUGGUGUGUUCUGGGUGACCUUCUCUUGUAUAGCUGUUAUCAUUCCAGUAGUUUUCAUGGGCUGCCUAAGAGUACUGAACAUACUGACUUGUGGAUUUGUUGGCUCCUACUUGGUGGUCUUGGCCUUUGACAGUUACUUGUACACAAGCCUUUCUUACAUCACUUUGAAUAUACUCAAGAGAGCACUCCACGAGGAUUUCCACAGAGCUUUCACAAAUGUGCCUUUUCAAACUAAUGACUUUAUUAUCCUGGCAGUAUGGGGGAUGCUUGCCGUAAGUGGAGUGACGUUACAGAUGCGAAGAGAAAGAGGGCAGCCAUUUUUUCCUGCCCACCCGUACAAGUUAUGGAAGCGAGAGAGGGAGCGCAGAGUAACGAACGUUCUGGACCCUAGCUACCACAUCCCUCCAUUGAGAGAGAGGCUCUACUGCCGACUAACCCAGAUCAAAGAACUCUUCCGGAAGGAACAGCCAGCUGGAGAGAGAACACCCCUGCUUCUGUAGAUGCCAAAAGGCUUGUUUUCUUCUGCUGGUGAAUUGGUGACAACACAAUGAGAAGGCAGCCUUCUGCAAGCAGAGGAGAGGCCUCAGUGGAAAACAACCUCGAUCUUGGACUUCCAGCCUCCAGAGUGGAAGAAGAUGGUGGAAUAUACUGGCAUGGCCCCUGCUGCAUCGUUUGGAGAGUGAUGAGACAGGUACUAGAGUAGUUACCCAGAGGAGGUACGAUAUGCAAUGAAAUUUAAAAUGGACGAGGGGGGGCGCCUGGGUGG
Molecule: RNA transcript, 2177 nt
Organism: Mustela lutreola (European mink)
Lineage: Eukaryota; Metazoa; Chordata; Mammalia; Carnivora; Mustelidae
Gene: TM7SF3
Gene name: transmembrane 7 superfamily member 3
Exons: 14
Source: RefSeq, a predicted model, not a curated record